UCUAUCUGUCUGAAAAGUUCCUGUUUAGGUGAGUCUGUCUGAUUUGAAGUGUGGUCAGAUAUUUGGAACAGAAAUGAGACAAACACACUUGGUAAGAGUUUGAUUUGUUUCCAGUGCAAAACAACACAUCACAUUAACUCUACAGGUUAUAGAGGACAAACUGAACACUUUUAAUACAGAGAGAUGAAAAAUCACUGUAAAUGGAGUGAAAUAAAGUCACUAGACAAACAAUAUUAACCCUUAAAGACCCAAACGUCCACCUUGAACCAAAACAACUACUG
Long non-coding RNA from Sphaeramia orbicularis (orbiculate cardinalfish), 281 nucleotides. RefSeq lists it as uncharacterized. The transcript is spliced from 3 exons. The record is from RefSeq and is a predicted model, not a curated record. NCBI's taxonomy places the organism in Eukaryota, Metazoa, Chordata, Actinopteri, Kurtiformes, Apogonidae.